AUGAAGUUUUUGUAUGUCUUAGAUGGAUGGGAAGGUUCUACAUCAGAUUCACCAGUGUUGCGAGAUGCAAUCUCACGACAAGACACUUUUAGAGUUACACAUGGAAAAUACUACCUUAUAGAUGUUGGGUAUACUAAUGGUCCGAGCUUCUUUGCUCCAUACCGGUCAGUCCGGUACCAUUUGAAAGAAUGCACGGCUAAUGGAAAUAACCCACAAACUCCAAGAGAGUUAUAUAAUUUGUGACAUGCAUCAGGUAGGAAUGUGAUAGAGAGAACUUUUGGUCUACUAAAGAUGAGAUGGGCUAUUUUGAGGACUAGUUAA
This 321-nucleotide ribosomal RNA is filed under the name Triticum aestivum (bread wheat). RNAcentral describes it as "partial small subunit ribosomal RNA". The record is from RNAcentral. Lineage: Eukaryota; Viridiplantae; Streptophyta; Magnoliopsida; Poales; Poaceae.